Molecule: long non-coding RNA, 333 nt
Filed under: Elaeis guineensis (African oil palm)
Lineage: Eukaryota; Viridiplantae; Streptophyta; Magnoliopsida; Arecales; Arecaceae
Description: long non-coding RNA (EGUI_LNC050223)
Source: RNAcentral
ACUGCACUUGGCUGGUAGCCUGGCUCCCCAUCUGAUGGGAGAUGGCGGUGUUGGAGAGACAAGAUGAUAGUCAUUUUGGUUGCAUAAUGAUGUAAAAAGUAGGCCCUUCCUCUAUCUGUUGCUGCUCAUUACCACUGGAUCAGAAGACGGACACCUGAUCCUCGUGUAGGGAGUGCUGGAGUGACCUGCAAAAGAAGUUUGGACAGAAAGUUUUCACUCCUGUGAAGAUCCUUCGAUGCUCAAGUCAAAUUUAGAAAAUAAAGAGAGUAGCCACAAGUUCUCUGAGAGGAAUGGCUUCACUUACCUUGGUCCUUGAGGCUUUGGUGAGUUAUA